This 125-nucleotide small RNA is filed under the name Marmota monax (woodchuck). The record is from RNAcentral. Lineage: Eukaryota; Metazoa; Chordata; Mammalia; Rodentia; Sciuridae.
GCCAAGCGUGGUGGCGCAUGCCUGUAAUCCCAGCAGCUUGGGAGGCUGAGGCAGGAGUAUUGCAAGCUCAAAGCCAGCCUCAGCAAAAGUGAGGUGCCAAGUGACUCAAUGAGACCCUGUCUCUA